This 253-nucleotide ribosomal RNA is filed under the name uncultured bacterium. RNAcentral describes it as "partial 16S ribosomal RNA". It matches the Rfam family "Bacterial small subunit ribosomal RNA", at positions 524 to 776 of the family's 1533-position model. The record is from RNAcentral.
UACGUAGGUGGCAAGCGUUGUCCGGAUUUACUGGGCGUAAAGGAUGCGUAGGCGGACAUUUAAGUCAGAUGUGAAAUACCCGAGCUUAACUUGGGUGCUGCAUUUGAAACUGGGUGUCUAGAGUGCAGGAGAGGUAAGUGGAAUUCCUAGUGUAGCGGUGAAAUGCGUAGAGAUUAGGAAGAACACCAGUGGCGAAGGCGAUUUACUGGACUGUAACUGACGCUGAGGCAUGAAAGCGUGGGGAGCAAACAGG